CGCUUUCCCUGCUGCCGGCCGCGACCGCAACCCGCUAGGCCUUCAUCGCGAGCUACGCCCGGACCGAGAAGCCCCGGCAUGGCCACGUCCAUCGGAGUGUCCUUCUCGGUGGGCGACGGGGUGCCUGAGGCUGAGAAGAACGCAGGGGAGCCCGAGAACACCUAUAUUCUGCGGCCUGUUUUCCAGCAGAGGCGGCCCUCUGUGGUUAAAGACUGUAUCCAUGCUGUGCUCAAGGAGGAACUGGCAAAUGCUGAAUAUUCUCCAGAAGAAAUGCCUCAGCUUACAAAACAUUUAUCAGAAAACAUUAAAGAUAAAUUAAAAGGUAA
This 326-nucleotide long non-coding RNA is filed under the name Homo sapiens (human). RNAcentral describes it as "non-protein coding lnc-TM4SF19-TCTEX1D2-4:2". The record is from RNAcentral. Lineage: Eukaryota; Metazoa; Chordata; Mammalia; Primates; Hominidae.